AACGAACGCUGGCGGCAUGCCUAACACAUGCAAGUCGAACGAAGCCUUCGGGCUUAGUGGCGCACGGGUGCGUAACGCGUGGGAAUCUGCCCUUGGGUACGGAAUAACAGUGAGAAAUUGCUGCUAAUACCGUAUGAUGUCUUCGGACCAAAGAUUUAUCGCCCAGGGAUGAGCCCGCGUAGGAUUAGCUAGUUGGUGAGGUAAAGGCUCACCAAGGCUACGAUCCUUAGCUGGUCUGAGAGGAUGAUCAGCCACACUGGGACUGAGACACGGCCCAGACUCCUACGGGAGGCAGCAGUGGGGAAUUUUCUGCAAUGGGCGAAAGCCUGACAGAGCAAUACCGCGUGAGGGAUGAAGACUUACUGAGUUGUAAACCUCGGUACCUUAAGGAAGAAGAUCUGACGGUACUUAAGGUGGAAAGCAUCGGCUAACUCCGUG
This 438-nucleotide ribosomal RNA is filed under the name uncultured bacterium. Its description in RNAcentral is "bacterial SSU rRNA". It matches the Rfam family "Bacterial small subunit ribosomal RNA", at positions 29 to 507 of the family's 1533-position model. The record is from RNAcentral.